Molecule: ribosomal RNA, 908 nt
Filed under: Wuestneia molokaiensis
Lineage: Eukaryota; Fungi; Ascomycota; Sordariomycetes; Diaporthales; Melanconidaceae
Description: eukaryotic LSU rRNA
Rfam family: Eukaryotic large subunit ribosomal RNA
Source: RNAcentral
CCCGCUGAACUUAAGCAUAUCAAUAAGCGGAGGAAAAGAAACCAACAGGGAUUGCCCUAGUAACGGCGAGUGAAGCGGCAACAGCUCAAAUUUGAAAUCUGGCCUCGGCCCGAGUUGUAAUUUGCAGAGGAUGUUUCUGGCGCGGUGCCUUCCGAGUUCCCUGGAACGGGACGCCACAGAGGGUGAGAGCCCCGUAUGGUUGGACACCAAGCCUGUGUGAAACUCCUUCGACGAGUCGAGUAGUUUGGGAAUGCUGCUCUAAAUGGGAGGUAAAUCUCUUCUAAAGCUAAAUACCGGCCAGAGACCGAUAGCGCACAAGUAGAGUGAUCGAAAGAUGAAAAGCACCUUGAAAAGGGGGUUAAACAGUACGUGAAAUUGUUGAAAGGGAAGCGCUCAUGACCAGACUUGUGCCGGGCGGUUCAUCCGGGGUUCUCCCCGGUGCACUCCGCCCGGCUCAGGCCAGCAUCGGUUCUCGUUGGGGGAUAAGAACGGUAGGAACGUGGCCCUCCCUCGGGAGGGUGUUAUAGCCUGCCGUACGAUACCCUGAUGGGGACCGAGGUUCGCGCUCCGCAAGGAUGCUGGCGUAAUGGUCAUCAGCGACCCGUCUUGAAACACGGACCAAGGAGUCGUCCAUUAGAGCGAGCGUUUGGGUGUAAAACCCGCACGCGUAAUGAAAGUGAAAUUAGGUGAGAGCUUCGGCGCAUCAUCGACCGAUCCUGAUGUUCUCGGAUGGAUUUGAGUAAGAGUUUUAACGGACGGACCCGAAAGACAGUGAACUAUGCUUGUAUAGGGUGAAGCCAGAGGAAACUCUGGUGGAGGCUCGCAGCGGUUCUGACGUGCAAAUCGAUCGUCAAAUAUGAGCAUGGGGGCGAAAGACUAAUCGAACUGUCUAGUAGCUGGUUACCGCC